UACGAAGGGUGCAAGCGUUACUCGGAAUUACUGGGCGUAAAGCGUGCGUAGGCGGUUUCUUAAGUCCGUUGUGAAAGCCCUGGGCUCAACCUGGGAACUGCGAUGGAUACUGAGGAGCUGGAGUACGGUAGAGGAAGGUGGAAUUCCCGGUGUAGCGGUGAAAUGCGUAGAGAUCGGGAGGAACAUCAGUGGCGAAGGCGGCCUUCUGGAGCAGUACUGACGCUGAGGUGCGAAAGCGUGGGGAGCAAACAGG
RNAcentral lists this ribosomal RNA (253 nucleotides) under uncultured bacterium. Its description in RNAcentral is "partial 16S ribosomal RNA". It matches the Rfam family "Bacterial small subunit ribosomal RNA", at positions 524 to 776 of the family's 1533-position model. The record is from RNAcentral.